CAAUAGCGUAUAUUAAAGUUGUUGCGGUUAAAAAGCUCGUAGUUGGAUUUCUGUUGGGAACGACCGGUCCGCCCAUUGGGUGUGUAUCUGGCUUGUUCUCGGCAUCUUCUUGGUGAACGUUGCUGCACUUGACUGUGUGGAGCGCUACCCAGGACUUUUACUUUGAGGAAAUUAGAGUGUUUCAAGCAGGCAUAUGCCUUGAAUACAUUAGCAUGGAAUAAUAAGAUAGGACCUCGGUUCUAUUUUGUUGGUUUCUAGAGCUGAGGUAAUGAUUAAUAGGGAUAGUUGGGGGCAUUCGUAUUUAACUGUCAGAGGUGAAAUUCUUGGUUUUGUUAAAGACGGACUACUGCGAAAGCAUUUGCCAAGGAUGUUUUCAUUGA
Molecule: ribosomal RNA, 380 nt
Filed under: uncultured eukaryote
Lineage: Eukaryota
Description: partial 18S ribosomal RNA
Rfam family: Eukaryotic small subunit ribosomal RNA
Source: RNAcentral